RNAcentral lists this small RNA (77 nucleotides) under Hyphomicrobium nitrativorans NL23. Its description in RNAcentral is "Hyphomicrobium sp. NL23 Makes More Granules Regulator RNA (mmgR)". It matches the Rfam family "Makes More Granules Regulator RNA (mmgR)". Rfam says of the family: SuhB later renamed mmgR (makes more granules regulator) was a putative non-coding RNA found multiple times in the Agrobacterium tumefaciens genome and related alpha-proteobacteria. The record is from Rfam by way of RNAcentral. Lineage: Bacteria; Pseudomonadati; Pseudomonadota; Alphaproteobacteria; Hyphomicrobiales; Hyphomicrobiaceae.
GAUCACUGCCCUCCUUGGGCGUUUCCUCCCUAGACUUGGGCCGUCCAUACCCUGGACGGCCCUUUUUUCUUGCUCGG